This 217-nucleotide ribosomal RNA is filed under the name uncultured Geobacillus sp. RNAcentral's name for it is "partial 16S ribosomal RNA". It matches the Rfam family "Bacterial small subunit ribosomal RNA", at positions 1170 to 1382 of the family's 1533-position model. Lineage: Bacteria; Bacillati; Bacillota; Bacilli; Caryophanales; Anoxybacillaceae. The record is from RNAcentral.
GAAGUGGGGAUGACGUCAAAUCAUCAUGCCCCUUAUGACCUGGGCUACACACGUGCUACAAUGGGCGGUACAAAGGGCUGCGAACCCGCGAGGGGGAGCGAAUCCCAAAAAGCCGCUCUCAGUUCGGAUUGCAGGCUGCAACUCGCCUGCAUGAAGCCGGAAUCGCUAGUAAUCGCGGAUCAGCAUGCCGCGGUGAAAUUACCGGUUCCCGGGCCUU